Molecule: transfer RNA, 72 nt
Filed under: Camelus bactrianus (Bactrian camel)
Lineage: Eukaryota; Metazoa; Chordata; Mammalia; Artiodactyla; Camelidae
Also listed under: 1 other name
Rfam family: tRNA
About the family: Transfer RNA (tRNA) molecules are approximately 80 nucleotides in length.
Source: Rfam by way of RNAcentral
GAGGGUGUAGCUCAGUGGUAGAGCGCAUGCAUAGCACGCACGAGGUCUUGGGUUCAGUCCCCUGUACUGCCA